Molecule: long non-coding RNA, 498 nt
Organism: Haliotis rubra (blacklip abalone)
Lineage: Eukaryota; Metazoa; Mollusca; Gastropoda; Lepetellida; Haliotidae
Exons: 2
Source: RefSeq, a predicted model, not a curated record
GAAAACAUCGUGAUCGAAAACUGGAGAAUCUGGUUACAGUGCUCGCAACGAAAUCGUGUAAGGCUUGAAUCAUGUAGCUAGUUACAAAAGAUGUGUAAUAAAUCAAUUCCAGUUUGGAUUCUGGGCUAGAAACGCUCGCCAGUAUUCCAAGUUUGUUGUAAAUGGGCACCCACCAAAAACUUGAGGCAAUUACAUAGUAUGUUUCAGCUUUAGACUAACUUGAUCUACUUUAUAUGCUUUAUGGAAAACGGUUCAAUUUAUAACUUGUGAUGAUGUGGAACAUUGUUAUUUUCAUUGCAGCAAGGGCGAAUAUGAGACAAGCAUUCCAGGAUAUACAAAACACUGUUACACAUGAUGGAUUUAUGGAGGAACACAUCAAAUAAUCCAGGAGCUGUGAAUUAUAAAUAUGGAUGACUGCAAAAGCAAAGAAGAAGAUAAUGAAACAAACUGAAAAAGUGUACACGUUUCCAGAAUUAUUAAUAAAAUUGUUGAUUACAA